Molecule: ribosomal RNA, 371 nt
Filed under: uncultured bacterium
Lineage: Bacteria
Description: bacterial SSU rRNA
Rfam family: Bacterial small subunit ribosomal RNA
Source: RNAcentral
GACGAACGCUGGCGGCGUGCUUAACACAUGCAAGUCGAACGGUAAGGCCCUUCGGGGUACGACGAGUGGCGAACGGGUGAGUAACACGUGGGUGAUCUGCCCUGCACUUCGGGAUAAGCUUGGGAAACUGGGUCUAAUACCGGAUAGGACCACGGUCUGCAUGGAUUGUGGUGGAAAGCUUUUGCGGUGUGGGAUGGGCCCGCGGCCUAUCAGCUUGUUGGUGGGGUGAUGGCCUACCAAGGCGACGACGGGUAGCCGGCCUGAGAGGGUGUCCGGCCACACUGGGACUGAGAUACGGCCCAGACUCCUACGGGAGGCAGCAGUGGGGAAUAUUGCACAAUGGGCGCAAGCCUGAUGCAGCGACGCCGCGU